Molecule: ribosomal RNA, 614 nt
Filed under: Pichia kluyveri
Lineage: Eukaryota; Fungi; Ascomycota; Pichiomycetes; Pichiales; Pichiaceae
Description: eukaryotic LSU rRNA
Rfam family: Eukaryotic large subunit ribosomal RNA
Source: RNAcentral
UGCAUAUCAAUAAGCGGAGGAAAAGAAACCAACAGGGAUUGCCUCAGUAGCGGCGAGUGAAGCGGCAAGAGCUCAGAUUUGAAAUCUCACCUAGUGUGCGAGUUGUAAAUUGCAGGUUGGAGUCUCGGGUUAGACGUGUGUGCAAGUCCCUUGGAACAGGGUGCCACUGAGGGUGAGAGCCCCGUAUCGUGCAUGUCGACACCUGUGAGGCCCUUCUGACGAGUCGAGUUGUUUGGGAAUGCAGCUCUAAGUGGGUGGUAAAUUCCAUCUAAGGCUAAAUAUUGGCGAGAGACCGAUAGCGAACAAGUACUGUGAAGGAAAGAUGAAAAGCACUUUGAAAAGAGAGUGAAACAGCACGUGAAAUUGUUGAAAGGGAAGGGUAUUGGGCUCGACAUGGGAUUUACGCAUCGUUGCCUCUCGUGGGCGGCGCUCUGGGUUUUUCCUGGGCCAGCAUCGGUUUUCGUUGCAGGAUAAGGACAAUUGGAAUGUGGCUCCUCGGAGUGUUAUAGCCUUUUGUAGAUGCUGCGUAUGGGGACCGAGGGCUGCGGCGGACUCGUUUCGUCUCGGAUGCUGGCACAACGGCGCAAUACCGCCCGUCUUGACCAACGGAACCA